GACGAACGCUGGCGGCGUGCUUAACACAUGCAAGUCGAACGGCAAGGCCCUGAUUUUGUGGGGUGCUCGAGUGGCGAACGGGUGAGUAACACGUGAGUAACCUGACCUAGACUUUGGGAUAACUUCAGGAAACUGGGGCUAAUACCGGAUAGGAGCUCCCGCUGCAUGGUGGGGGUUGGAUAGUUUCGGCGGUUGUGGAUGGACUGGCGGCUUAUCGGCUUGUUGGUGGGGUAGUGGCAGACCAAGGAUGUGGCUGGUCGGCGGCCUGAGAGGGUGACCGGCGACAUGGGUACUACGAGACGGCGCAGAGGGCUACGUUAGGCAGCAGUGGGGAGUAUGGCACAGUGGGCGGAAGCCUGAGGCGGCAGCGCCGCGGGCGUGAAGACGUCCUUUUGGUAAUGAACAGCUGUAGCCUGUGACGAAGCUGUUGUGACGGUAAUGAGUAAAUAAGCACCGGCUAACUACGUG
RNAcentral lists this ribosomal RNA (468 nucleotides) under uncultured bacterium. Its description in RNAcentral is "partial 16S ribosomal RNA". It matches the Rfam family "Bacterial small subunit ribosomal RNA", at positions 28 to 507 of the family's 1533-position model. The record is from RNAcentral.